UUAAUUCCGCGCUCUCCACUGGAUCUUCACUGGAUUCGAAAAAAUAUGUUGUUUUCUCCCGGGUCAGUCAAGACUAUUUGCGGCGGACAAUAAUGGAUCAUUCCCCCAUAGGGGCCAUUCGUCAGCCCUCAUUUCUGGCAAAAAACAAGCUCCAAGGAACUGUCCCGUUCCUUAACAAAGCCAGUUAUCAGUCAGAUAUAAAAAGAAUGUCCAGUCGAACUUGAGCCAUCAUUUGCGCGCAAUUUCCCAUAACAAAGAGCCGCCUCCACAACCCUCCAGAAAAAUAUGUUUCAGCGCCAACAACUGACCAUGGUUCUGUGCCUACUAAUGAUCCUGAUGGGAAAACACUUGGCCAAAUCAUCUUUCGACACGUGCAUUACGUAAGUAACAAUUUAUUAUCAAAUACACAGGCUAAGAGAAGCGUGCUCACUCUCAUUUGCGGAAAACUGCGAUUUAGAAUACGAAUCUCUCGUCCACUAAACUCGUCUGCUUCUUAGUUGGUUAAACAAAAUUAAAAAAAAUAAAAAAUGAAAAAUAAAAAAAAAUAAAAAAUAAAAAAAAUAAAAAAUUAAAGUUGUCAUCUUCCGCUUCUCUCUUUCUCUUUACUAUUCUUCUCUUCUCUCUUGCUCGUUCGCCAGUAGUUCUCUUUGCGUCCCAAAAUCGGACGGGGAAAUGGUGCUUUGGUUCCCAAUAUUGGUCGAGGGCCUGCGGGCGUUGAAAGCUGUCGCACUGAUCGCCUGGAGUACCUGCAAUUUUCCCCGAGUUUUCACGUAAAUCUAUGUGAGUUUAGUGCAGAGUUGAUCUACCUGGAGAGGGUGAGGAUGUGGCCGAGUUGCUGUCCGCUUUGGAGGGCGACGUAAAGAGGUGGGCAUCCGGGUUCAGCUUGCACGGGAUCGACUUCUAAGAGCACACGCUGAUUGACAUCGCACAAAUGACAACGUUUUCCCGAUAACCAUGGAAAUUUGCUAGGGUUCCUGGGCUCUUCUGAGGGCUGCAAUUCCCUAGCAACAGGAACUGUUUGUUUCAGGAACUGUGUGCAGUGCAAACAGAUGUACGGGCAUCGAUUCGCAGGGAAAAUGUGUGGCGACACCUGCAUAGCCAGCAACGGGGAGUUUUUGCUGGAUUGCAACAAUCCAGGAAUGAUCCAUGACUACCUGAAGCGCCUCUAUAAAAAAUAGCGAUUCACUCGACGUCUGCACUCGCGAAAUUAGUCGUAGGACACGGUGCGAUUCAAGGCAAAUCCCCCGGUCUCUUUCGCUGCUGAUAAACCUACGAAGCACU
Dendroctonus ponderosae (mountain pine beetle) is the source of this 1281-nucleotide long non-coding RNA. RefSeq lists it as uncharacterized. NCBI's taxonomy places the organism in Eukaryota, Metazoa, Arthropoda, Insecta, Coleoptera, Curculionidae. The transcript is spliced from 2 exons. The record is from RefSeq and is a predicted model, not a curated record.